RNAcentral lists this long non-coding RNA (1068 nucleotides) under Gadus morhua (Atlantic cod). RNAcentral's name for it is "lncRNA (ENSGMOG00000024615.1)". The record is from RNAcentral. Lineage: Eukaryota; Metazoa; Chordata; Actinopteri; Gadiformes; Gadidae.
AUGCAUCCAAUGCUGAGCGUCCGAGUCCAAUGCUUGAAGGAAACAAAACACAACGCAGGUUACAGUGGUGCCGUGAUCCCGGAUUCAACUGAUUGGUCGCUGACCAACAACCCUUACCGGAGUGCCUGUUACCAUUCCCACACUGGAGAUCAGCUGAGAACACUUGGGCGGACCAGGAAAUGCUCUAAACCUGUCCUUUAUGUUGCUGACCCAUUGUGCAGGUAACCGAUAGGUUGUUUUAGUUACAUGUAUGUUAUAAUCCCACUUGUGGCGUUGCCUAGCAUUCAAAAUCUAGAAUGUCUAGCUAGCCGGUCCCGCCAUUUUUACAUGCAAUACCGCCGGUCGCCACAUGAGGGGAGGGAUCACCUGUUUAUGCGCGCUGUUUAGCGCGACUCUGUUUUAAAUAUAUAUAAUAAAUUAUAGAGCAGAAAAGACGGUAACUGCUGCCGGCGGACCAGGAAAUGCUCUAAACCUGUCCUUUAUGUUGCUGACCCAUUGUGCAGGCAAUAAAACCGCUGCAUCCAAUGCUGAGCGUCCGAGUCCAAUGCUUGAAGGAAACAAAACACAACGCAGGUUACAGUGGUGCCGUGAUCCCGGAUUCAACUGAUUGGUCGCUGACCAACAACCCUUACCGGAGUGCCUGUUACCAUUCCCACACUGGAGAUCAGCUGAGAACACUUGCGUAUUGUGUUAUAUUUGGGGAACUGUAGAAUAUUUGAAAUGUUAUGAGUAGAUAUUAAUGUGACUGUUUUAGUGAACAUCGACAUUUUGUAUUUUUUUAUUACAAUUUUUUUUUUAUUUUUUCUCUCCGUCUUUUCCAUUGUCAUGGCUGGCUCACAGGUUACUGGAGCUCAAAGGCUUUCUGACUCCUGUUAGUGUGGGUCGGGGUAGAGGUGUGUUGGGGUUGCCUAUCCCUUUCCCUCAGCUUAGUGUGUCUGUGGGUACUACUGUAGGGAUGGCAGCGAGGACUCCACGUCCUGUUGUUAGUGACACACCACACGCUGCUCACACAGAACAAACUAGUUUCCCUGCGCAACAGGCCCCCUGCACUUCCACUCCUUUAACUAC